This 355-nucleotide ribosomal RNA is filed under the name Anabaena subcylindrica AUS-JR/BS/MS/NT-067. Its description in RNAcentral is "bacterial SSU rRNA". It matches the Rfam family "Bacterial small subunit ribosomal RNA", at positions 145 to 534 of the family's 1533-position model. The record is from RNAcentral. Lineage: Bacteria; Bacillati; Cyanobacteriota; Cyanophyceae; Nostocales; Nostocaceae.
UCCAACUGGAAUGGUCGCUAAUACCCCAAAGUGCCGAGAGGUGAAAGGAUAUUUUGCCUAAAGAUGAGCUCGCGUCAAAUUAGCUAGUUGGUGGGGUAACGGCCUACCAAGGCGACGAUCUGUAGCUGGUCUGAGAGGAUGAUCAGCCACACUGGGACUGAGACACGGCCCAAACUCCUACGGGAGGCAGCAGUGGGGAAUUUUCCGCAAUGGGCGAAAGCCUGACGGAGCAAUACCGCGUGAGGGAGGAAGGCCUAUGGGUUGUAAACCUCUUUUCUCUAGGAAGAUAAUAACGGUACUACAGGAAUAAUCCUCGGCUACCUCCUCCCCGCCAGCCGCGGUAAUACGAAGGAGG